RNAcentral lists this small nucleolar RNA (130 nucleotides) under Myotis davidii. Its description in RNAcentral is "Small nucleolar RNA SNORA5". It matches the Rfam family "Small nucleolar RNA SNORA5". From Rfam's summary of the family: ACA5 is a member of the H/ACA class of snoRNA that guide the sites of modification of uridines to pseudouridines. The record is from Rfam by way of RNAcentral. Lineage: Eukaryota; Metazoa; Chordata; Mammalia; Chiroptera; Vespertilionidae.
AGAUGAAAAAACAAUAUCAGUGACAAUAAAAGUCAGGCACUGGCCCAGAAGGCUGCCACAGAAACACUGUGGUGCAUGGGCCCUGAUCCCCUCUGCUGGGCCUCAGGGACAAGUUUGGCUACAGACAUCA